GACGAACGCUGGCGGCGUGCUUAACACAUGCAAGUCGAACGGACAGGCCCUGCUCUUGUGGGUUGCUCGAGUGGCGAACGGGUGUGUAACACGUGAGUAACCUGCCCUUGUCUUUGGGAUAACUUCAGGAAACUGGGGCUAAUACCGCAUAGGAGCUCCUGCUGCAUGUUGGGGGUUGGAAAGUUUCGGCGGUUGGGGCUGGACUCGCGGCUUAUCAGCUUGUUGGUCGGGUAGUGGCUGACCAAGGCUUUGACGGGUAGCCGGCCUGAGAGGGGGACCGGCGACAUGGGGCCUGAGAGACGGCCCAGACUCCUACGUGAGGCAGCGGGGGGGAAUAUUGCACAAUGGGCGGAAGUGUGAGACAGCAACCCCGCGUGCGGGAUAACGGGCUUCGGGUUGUAAACCGCUUUCGCCUGAGACGAAGCGUGAGUGACGGUAAUGGGUAAGGAAGCACCGGCUAACUACGUG
This 468-nucleotide ribosomal RNA is filed under the name uncultured bacterium. Its description in RNAcentral is "partial 16S ribosomal RNA". It matches the Rfam family "Bacterial small subunit ribosomal RNA", at positions 28 to 507 of the family's 1533-position model. The record is from RNAcentral.